This 459-nucleotide ribosomal RNA is filed under the name uncultured bacterium. RNAcentral describes it as "partial 16S ribosomal RNA". It matches the Rfam family "Bacterial small subunit ribosomal RNA", at positions 338 to 795 of the family's 1533-position model. The record is from RNAcentral.
CCUACGGGAGGCAGCAGUGAGGAAUAUUGGUCAAUGGGCGCGAGCCUGAACCAGCCAAGUCGCGUGAGGGAAGACGGUCCUAUGGAUUGUAAACCUCUUUUGUCGGGGAGCAAAAGACGCCACGCGUGGCGUUCCGAGAGUACCCGAAGAAAAAGCAUCGGCUAACUCCGUGCCAGCAGCCGCGGUAAUACGGCGGAUGCGAGCGUUAUCCGGUUUUAUUGGGUUUAAAGGGUGCGCAGGCGGAAGAUCAAGUCAGCGGUAAAAGUGAGAGGCUCAACCUCUUCGAGCCGUUGAAACUGGUUUUCUUGAGUGAGUGAGAAGUAUGCGGAAUGCGUGGUGUAGCGGUGAAAUGCAUAGAUAUCACGCAGAACUCCGAUUGCGAAGGCAGCAUACCGGCGCUCAACUGACGCUCAUGCACGAAAGUGUGGGUAUCGAACAGGAUUAGAUACCCUUGUAGUC